Molecule: ribosomal RNA, 253 nt
Filed under: uncultured bacterium
Lineage: Bacteria
Description: partial 16S ribosomal RNA
Rfam family: Bacterial small subunit ribosomal RNA
Source: RNAcentral
UACGGGGGGAGCAAACGUUGUUCGGAAUCACUGGGCUUAAAGGGCGCGUAGGCGGGCCGGAUAGUCUGUGGUGAAAGCCCCCAGCUUAACUGGGGAAGUGCCAUGGAUACUGCCGGUCUGGAGGAGGGUAGGGGCAUCUGGAACGCUGGGUGGAGCGGUGAAAUGCGUUGAUAUCCAGCGGAACUCCGGUGGCGAAGGCGAGGUGCUGGACCCUUUCUGACGCUGAGGCGCGAAAGCCAGGGGAGCAAACGGG